GCACGCUGCAACUCUCCCGGCGCGCGGCCGGCGAGGGCCAGCAUCCGCGGCGAAGGGGAGCGAGAAGGAGGCCGCGCGCUUCUUCUCGUUCCUCUCUCACCGGCGGCGGCCGUCCCAUUCGAGGCGGCUCGAUCUGGUUCGGUUCGGUUCGGUGGAGACCACCCCUCGUCCAUCCCGCGCUGCCGCUCACUAGCCACCAACCAGGCAGUGGCCGUCGCCGUCGCCCAUUGCCAUUACCGGCUAGCCUGUGUUGUUGCCUUUAGCAUGGACACUUGAAAAUAUGUGGAGGAAAGCAGGGGAAAUGACCGAUACUACUGGAAGAAUUCUUCUUUGUAUCAUAUAUUAUGUUGCCCUCUCACAGCAUGUAACAAGUAUUGGCACAAUCAAGCUGGAUACUUGACAAUUCAAGAUUUCAAAUGGUCCUGAUUGCCUCCAAGAAACAGCAAGAGGAAGCACCGACUAACAAGUAACAUGCUGCAAUAUCAUCUGAACCAAAGGUUAUAGCAUUGAUGCUGGACGCCUUCAGUUGUCAUGGAAGCUUUGUUUGUAAGCCAUCUCCGUGUAACUUAAUAAGGGCCUAGAUGACAGCUUGGAACCUGGGACAAACAUAUACAUAUAACCUCGUCCAAUAUGUAGCAGUUAGUUUGCAAGUGAGUUUGAGUUGUCCAUGUAGCAUAAGCACUUGUGUUUGAGUUGUCCAAUAUACCUCGGUAAGCAUUCUGAUGGCUGCUUUUCCAGUAGGAUAAUCACUUGUGUUUGAGUUGUCCAUGUUUUUUGCCUGCAAUUCAUCUCAGGUAUCAAUUAAUGUAAGAUGACCUAGAGUUUUGCAGCUGCCAUACGUACAUCUUUGUUUGGGUAGGUUGUAAUGCUGAACUUAAUAAAUCUUUCUUUGGGUAGGUUCUAAUGCUGAACUUAAUAAAUCUUUGUUUGGGCCGUUAACUUAAGCUUCUGUGCUGAACUUAAUAAAUCUUUUUUUCGGCCGGUAACUUGAGCUUCUGUGCUGAACUUAAUAAAUCUUUGUUUAGGCCGAUAACUUGAGCUUGUAUGCUGAACUUACAAAAGAGUUUUCAUCAGUUAAAUGGAAUAAAAGCAAAGGAGUCAGGAAUUUUUUAGAAGUGACAAUUACUUGGCACGGCUGAAUGCUAGAAACUGUGUUCCAUGAAGGGUUGAUUGGGAAUAUGUUUUUUUGGUGCCAUGCAGUACAAUCCUUAGUUUGUCUUUUGCUGAUCUUCGUUUGUUCUUGAAUUCUUAAAUAUAGUGACAGCCUCUGCAUAUACUCUGCUGAGUACUAGCAACUCUUUCCAAGAUAGUGAUUAAGUGAAUAAUUAUUUUGUUUUCGAAUAAUCUUACAUCCAUCACGUCCAGCUUGCACCAUACCAUUUCCAACAUUAUUUAUGUCAGUAGUCAAACUUUUAUAGGAUAUGUAAGGUUUGUUUCAUUAUUUUGUAAAGGACCUUAGGAAGGCAUUGGUGUAUUUGCAAGUUAAGUUGAAUGAAGCAAUGAUAAUUUAUUUGGAGGACCAAUCCAGGUGAAAGAAUCUUACACUGACAUCUGCUAUUUGGGUAGCUGCUUGGCUCGUAUGAGCACGGAUGCAUAUCAACCCACGAGCUAUAUGAGGCCCAGCGUGUUCUGGCAAUCGGAAGUAUGGUCUCUGAAAAUGACCCCUCAAAGGCCAACCCACUCGUAUGGCUGGAAAGAUGAAAGAAUUUUUAUGUUGAUAUGUUCCUGUCAGUCAACAGUAAGGUUGCCAUAUUUAUAUGGCAUCAGGAUUCUUUAUCUCGGUAUUUACUGUAGUGUGCAAUGCCUUUGUGGACUCCAAAGCCACUCCUGUAGUUAUCUAAUCAAUCAACUGGC
Molecule: long non-coding RNA, 1854 nt
Organism: Triticum dicoccoides
Lineage: Eukaryota; Viridiplantae; Streptophyta; Magnoliopsida; Poales; Poaceae
Exons: 4
Source: RefSeq, a predicted model, not a curated record